AAUGAACGCUGGCGGCAUGCCUAACACAUGCAAGUCGAACGAAGGCUUCGGCCUUAGUGGCGCACGGGUGCGUAACGCGUGGGAAUCUGCCCUUGGGUUCGGAAUAACAGUUAGAAAUGACUGCUAAUACCGGAUGAUGUCGUAAGACCAAAGAUUUAUCGCCCAAGGAUGAGCCCGCGUAGGAUUAGCUAGUUGGUGGGGUAAAGGCCCACCAAGGCGACGAUCCUUAGCUGGUCUGAGAGGAUGAUCAGCCACACUGGGACUGAGACACGGCCCAGACUCCUACGGGAGGCAGCAGUGGGGAAUAUUGGACAAUGGGCGAAAGCCUGAUCCAGCGAUGCCGCGUGAGUGAUGAAGGCCUUAGGGUUGUAAAGCUCUUUUACCCGGGAUGAUAAUGACAGUACCGGGAGAAUAAGCUCCGGCUAACUUCGUGCCAGCCGCCGCAGUAA
Molecule: ribosomal RNA, 449 nt
Filed under: uncultured bacterium
Lineage: Bacteria
Description: partial 16S ribosomal RNA
Rfam family: Bacterial small subunit ribosomal RNA
Source: RNAcentral